RNAcentral lists this unclassified non-coding RNA (1429 nucleotides) under Hevea brasiliensis (rubber tree). The record is from RNAcentral. Lineage: Eukaryota; Viridiplantae; Streptophyta; Magnoliopsida; Malpighiales; Euphorbiaceae.
AAAAAAAGAAAAUUAAGAAAAAAGUUGCAUGGUAUUAAUGAAUUAUGUAGUAGCAGAUUCAUAUACCGAUCCCUUGUAAGAUUCCUUAUGUUUCGGUAAGCAAAUAUGUAGUACAUAAUAUACAUCAAUAUUUUUAAUACUAUAGACAACAGAUUAAUCAAGAAAAUUUCUGGAAAUGCAAAAAACUGAACUCAUCAAUGCAUUUAAAUUCCAAUUGCAUCAAGAAGCUGGGAGUGUUGAGACACUGAAACCAGUGAGUUAGCGACAAUAGCACCGCUAGCUGCAACUGCAGGGACGCCAAUGCCAGGAAAAGUAGAAUCUCCACAGCAGUAAAGCUGUGAUAUGGGAGUUGAAUGUCCAGGAAAAGUAUCUUUCCCAGCCUCUAUAGCCGGCCCAUAUGUUCCUCUGUUCCUCCGAAGAAAUCUUUGAUGUGUCAAUGGAGUUCCAACCAACUUCACCUCACACUUGUCACGACUGAAGCAUGGACCAAGGGCACGCUCAACUGCCUUCCACAUUACCUGUCAUAUCAGAAAAUCUGUAACGAACAAUUUCACUAAAGAAAAGUAUGAAUAUGGAUCAUUGAGUCACUAAAUUAUAUUUAAAAAAUCAGGACUACACACAAUGAGCAACAACAGAUCACUUGUGACUUGUCAUACAAUCAACAAGAGUAGCUAGCUGCACCUGUAGGCUUAGCCAAGUGGCAGGUGCAUUCUCAACUUGGAGAAGAGUAGCUAGCCUCUAACAACAGUGGCUCAAAUUGUUUUUCUUCUAACUCUCAAUGAAUCACCUUAGCAUUCUAUUCCCCCAAUCCACUUAGAUAAGUCAAACUCAUACAUACCUCUGAUCGUUCAGCUUUGAGUUGCUUGUACUCCUCACUUCUACGGUCAAGUCCUUUCCAUAAUUCAAAUGGCUCGGUUCCCGGUGUAUAAGCAUGUAAGAUAUGUUUCCCAGGGGGUGCCAAAUCUGGACUAAGUACACUAGGAACAGAUAUUAAAACAACAUUCUGAUCCGCAUCAACUCCUCUAUCCCAGUCAUUCACAACUAUAUGAUGAAUCCCCAAGUCCUCACGUAUGCCCUCAGCAGCAAAGCCCAAAUGGAGAUGCAUGAAUGAUUCACACUGUGGCGUUGUGUUAAUCCUGUCAACAUAUGACUUCGGAAGAACUUCUCUGGGUAAGAGAUUUAAAGUAUCCCACAUAGAUGCGUUGCUGAUGACAGCCUUUCUAGCACGUAUAAAUUGACCACUUUUCAGCUUGAUUCCAACGGCUCUAUUGUUUUCAACAACAAUCUUUUCUACAUGGCUUUUUAAAGAAAGCCGUCCACCAAACUUCUGCAAUCCUCGGACAAGAGCAUCAACAACAGCCCCACUUCCAUGAAGAGGGUACUCAAGAGAGCAACCUGGCUUAUACCAUUCUGCAAACAUGUAAAUCAU